Molecule: ribosomal RNA, 253 nt
Filed under: uncultured bacterium
Lineage: Bacteria
Description: partial 16S ribosomal RNA
Rfam family: Bacterial small subunit ribosomal RNA
Source: RNAcentral
UACGAAGGAGGCUAGCGUUGGUCGGAAUCACUGGGCGUAAAGCGCACGUAGGCGGAUUUGUUAGUAAGGGGUGAAAUCCCGGGGCUCAACCUCGGAACAGCCUUUGAUACUGCAGAUCUCGAGUCCGGAAGAGGUGAGUGGAAUUCCAAGUGUAGAGGUGAAAUUCGUAGAUAUUAGUAAGAACACCAGUGGCGAAGGCGGCUCACUGGUCCGGUACUGACGCUGAGGUGCGAAAGCGUGGGGAGCAAACAGG